UUCAAUAUAGCUUAAGAAAAGCAACGAUUUUGUAAAUCGUAGAUAUUAAAUAAUUUUUGAAC
RNAcentral lists this transfer RNA (62 nucleotides) under Gyraulus sp. GE1. Its description in RNAcentral is "tRNA-Thr". It matches the Rfam family "tRNA". From Rfam's summary of the family: Transfer RNA (tRNA) molecules are approximately 80 nucleotides in length. The record is from RNAcentral. Lineage: Eukaryota; Metazoa; Mollusca; Gastropoda; Planorbidae.